This 466-nucleotide ribosomal RNA is filed under the name uncultured bacterium. RNAcentral describes it as "partial 16S ribosomal RNA". It matches the Rfam family "Bacterial small subunit ribosomal RNA", at positions 28 to 507 of the family's 1533-position model. The record is from RNAcentral.
GACGAACGCUGGCGGCGCGCCUAACACAUGCAAGUCGAACGAGCGAGAGAGAGCUUGCUUUCUCAAGCGAGUGGCGAACGGGUGAGUAACGCGUGAGGAACCUGCCUCAAAGAGGGGGACAACAGUUGGAAACGACUGCUAAUACCGCAUAAGCCCACAGGUCGGCAUCGACCAGAGGGAAAAGGAGCAAUCCGCUUUGAGAUGGCCUCGCGUCCGAUUAGCUAGUUGGUGAGGUAACGGCCCACCAAGGCAACGAUCGGUAGCCGGACUGAGAGGUUGAACGGCCACAUUGGGACUGAGACACGGCCCAGACUCCUACGGGAGGCAGCAGUGGGGAAUAUUGCACAAUGGGGGAAACCCUGAUGCAGCGACGCCGCGUGGAGGAAGAAGGUCUUCGGAUUGUAAACUCCUGUUGUUGAGGAAGAUAAUGACGGUACUCAACAAGGAAGUGACGGCUAGCUACGUG